CGAGCGAACAGAUAAGGAGCUUGCUCCUUUGACGUUAGCGGCGGACGGGUGAGUAACACGUGGGUAACCUACCUAUAAGACUGGGAUAACUUCGGGAAACCGGAGCUAAUACCGGAUAACAUUUGGAACCGCAUGGUUCUAAAGUGAAAGAUGGUUUUGCUAUCACUUAUAGAUGGACCCGCGCCGUAUUAGCUAGUUGGUAAGGUAACGGCUUACCAAGGCGACGAUACGUAGCCGACCUGAGAGGGUGAUCGGCCACACUGGAACUGAGACACGGUCCAGACUCCUACGGGAGGCAGCAGUAGGGAAUCUUCCGCAAUGGGCGAAAGCCUGACGGAGCAACGCCGCGUGAGUGAUGAAGGGUUUCGGCUCGUAAAACUCUGUUAUUAGGGAAGAACAAACGUGUAAGUAACUGUGCACGUCUUGACGGUACCUAAUCAGAAAGCCACGGCUAACUACGUGCCAGCAGCCGCGGUAAUACGUAGGUGGCAAGCGUUAUCCGGAAUUAUUGGGCGUAAAGCGCGCGUAGGCGGUUUCUUAAGUCUGAUGUGAAAGCCCACGGCUCACCCGUGGAGGGUCAUUGGAAACUGCCAAACUUGAGUGCAGAAGAGGAAAGUGGAAUUCCAUGUGUAGCGGUGAAAUGCGCAGAGAUAUGGAGGAACACCAGUGGCGAAGGCGACUUUCUGGUCUGUAACUGACGCUGAUGUGCGAAAGC
RNAcentral lists this ribosomal RNA (715 nucleotides) under Staphylococcus saprophyticus. RNAcentral describes it as "bacterial SSU rRNA". It matches the Rfam family "Bacterial small subunit ribosomal RNA", at positions 63 to 760 of the family's 1533-position model. The record is from RNAcentral. Lineage: Bacteria; Bacillati; Bacillota; Bacilli; Caryophanales; Staphylococcaceae.